AACGAACGCUGGCGGCAUGCCUAACACAUGCAAGUCGAACGAACCCUUCGGGGUUAGUGGCGCACGGGUGCGUAACGCGUGGGGAUCUGCCCAAAGGUUCGGAAUAACUCAGAGAAAUUUGAGCUAAUACCGGAUAAUGUCUUCGGACCAAAGAUUUAUUGCCUUUGGAUGAACCCGCGUAGGAUUAGCUUGUUGGUGGGGUAAAGGCCUACCAAGGCGACGAUCCUUAGCUGGUCUGAGAGGAUGAUCAGCCACACUGGGACUGAGACACGGCCCAGACUCCUACGGGAGGCAGCAGUGGGGAAUUUUGGACAAUGGGCGAAAGCCUGAUCCAGCCAUGCCGCGUGAGUGAAGAAGGCCUGGUUGUAAGCUCUUCAGGUGGAAGAAAGACGGAUGGGUUAAUACCCUGUCCGGAUGACGGUACCACCAGAAGAAGCACCGGCUAACUACGUGCCAGCAGCCGCGGU
RNAcentral lists this ribosomal RNA (467 nucleotides) under uncultured bacterium. RNAcentral describes it as "bacterial SSU rRNA". It matches the Rfam family "Bacterial small subunit ribosomal RNA", at positions 29 to 521 of the family's 1533-position model. The record is from RNAcentral.